UACGGAGGGUGCGAGCGUUGUCCGGAAUCACUGGGCGUAAAGGGCGCGUAGGCGGCUCGGUAAGUAGGGGGUGAAAUCCUGCGGCUUAACCGCAGGGCUGCCUUCUAAACUGUCGAGCUCGAGCACGGUAGAGGCAGAUGGAGUUCCCGGUGUAGCGGUGGAAUGCGUAGAGAUCGGGAAGAACAUCAGUGGCGAAGGCGGUCUGCUGGGCCGUUGCUGACGCUGAGGCGCGACAGCGUGGGGAGCAAACAGG
Molecule: ribosomal RNA, 253 nt
Filed under: uncultured bacterium
Lineage: Bacteria
Description: partial 16S ribosomal RNA
Rfam family: Bacterial small subunit ribosomal RNA
Source: RNAcentral